GUUGUACGUGUCUUCAGAAAGGGGUCUUACCCAGGUGUCCCUGCACAGGUGUGCCGUUUAUGGCAAGGCCUGUUCAGACUGCUGCCUGGCCCGCGACCCCUACUGUGCCUGGGAUGGAGAACACUGCUCUGCUUUCACCCAGGCUACCAAGAGGAGAAGCAGAAGGCAAGAUAUCAAACACGGAGAUCCUCUACGGCAGUGCAGAGGAUUCAAUGCUAAAGUAGAGAAGCAUCUGAGGGAGACGGUGCAGUUUGGGGUUGAGGGGAGCAGCACGUUCCUGGAGUGCCAGCCAAGAUCCCAGCAGGCCUCCGUCAAAUGGCUCUACCUGAAGGACGGCAAGCGAAAAGCAGUAAGACAC
Sinocyclocheilus anshuiensis is the source of this 358-nucleotide long non-coding RNA. RefSeq lists it as uncharacterized. Lineage: Eukaryota; Metazoa; Chordata; Actinopteri; Cypriniformes; Cyprinidae. The record is from RefSeq and is a predicted model, not a curated record. The transcript has 3 exons.